GGGGUUGUGGCUCAGUGGUCGAGCAUCUGCUGGGCAUGCAGAAGGUUCCAAAGUCAAUCCCUGGUAUCUCCA
RNAcentral lists this transfer RNA (72 nucleotides) under Sphaerodactylus townsendi. Its description in RNAcentral is "tRNA-Ala". It matches the Rfam family "tRNA". From Rfam's summary of the family: Transfer RNA (tRNA) molecules are approximately 80 nucleotides in length. Lineage: Eukaryota; Metazoa; Chordata; Lepidosauria; Squamata; Sphaerodactylidae. The record is from RNAcentral.